Molecule: ribosomal RNA, 482 nt
Filed under: uncultured bacterium
Lineage: Bacteria
Description: bacterial SSU rRNA
Rfam family: Bacterial small subunit ribosomal RNA
Source: RNAcentral
UGAACGCUAGCGGCAGGCCUAACACAUGCAAGUCGAACGGUAACAUGAAGUGCUUGCACUUUGAUGACGAGUGGCGCACGGGUGCGUAACGCGUAUACAAUCUACCUUUUACAGAGGGAUAGCCCAGAGAAAUUUGGAUUAACACCUCAUGGUAUCCAGACCUCGCAUGAGCGUCUGGAUUAAAACUCCGGUGGUAAGAGAUGAGUAUGCGUUCUAUUAGCUAGAUGGUAAGGUAACGGCUUACCAUGGCUACGAUAGAUAGGGGCCCUGAGAGGGGGAUCCCCCACACUGGUACUGAGACACGGACCAGACUCCUACGGGAGGCAGCAGUGAGGAAUAUUGGACAAUGGGGGCAACCCUGAUCCAGCCAUGCCGCGUGCAGGAAGACUGCCCUAUGGGUUGUAAACUGCUUUUAUACAGGAAGAAACGUUUCUACGAGUAGAGAUUUGACGGUACUGUAAGAAUAAGGAUCGGCUAACUCC